This 336-nucleotide ribosomal RNA is filed under the name Deltaproteobacteria bacterium. Its description in RNAcentral is "partial 23S ribosomal RNA". It matches the Rfam family "Bacterial large subunit ribosomal RNA", at positions 2596 to 2925 of the family's 2925-position model. The record is from RNAcentral. Lineage: Bacteria; Pseudomonadati; Myxococcota; Myxococcia.
GUACGCGAGCUGGGUUUAAAACGUCGUGAGACAGUUUGGUCCCUAUCUGCCGUGGGCGCAGGAAACUUGAGAGGAGCUAUCCAUAGUACGAGAGGACCUGGAUGGACUCGCCUCUAGUGAUCCGGUUGUUCCGCCAGGAGCAUCGCCGGGUAGCUAUGCGGGGAACGGAUAACCGCUGAAAGCAUCUAAGCGGGAAGCCGGCCUCAAGAUUAGGUUUCCCGGGCGCAAGCCCCUAAAGACCCCUCGUAGACCACGAGGUUGAUAGGCUGGAGGUGGAAGCGUAGCGAUACGCGGAGCUGACCAGUACUAAUCGGUCGUGCGGCUUGGCCUACCUCU